CCACCUUUCACCACCGAACCUCUGGCUCCUCCCUCCAUUAAAAAACCCACCGAAUUGCAAUAAUUAAGUUGAUUUGCAAAUUUCCAUUGAUUCACCAAACCUUUAACCCCCCCUUGCCCCCCUUGUUUUUCCAAGGGGCUUCCCGUUUUAAUUGUCUUUAAUCCCCCACCCCCCCCAAUGGAUUUCGGGGGGCCUUGAACUUUGAACCGGGCUGCCAAAGGUCGCCUCCCCUUUAAUUGCUUCACCGAAAAAACCUUUUGUCUUUCCGGCCUUCGGGGUGUUAUUUGGGUUGCCCCCCGUGGAACCUUCACCAAUCCGUUACCACCGGUCUUCGAACAAACCCUCAGGUCACCUUGCCUUCAAUUCAGGUAGGACUCCCCCUUAAAUUUAACC
RNAcentral lists this unclassified non-coding RNA (393 nucleotides) under uncultured Tylospora. Its description in RNAcentral is "sequence contains ITS1, 5.8S rRNA gene and ITS2". Lineage: Eukaryota; Fungi; Basidiomycota; Agaricomycetes; Atheliales; Atheliaceae. The record is from RNAcentral.